CGCAACUCCCUAAAAUGAUAAAAGAAAUCAGCAGUUAGGGCCACCGCCGCUCGGCGCCUCGGCAACAGCAGUCGAUCUCCCGCCGCCGUUUGGCCCAGCCAGAGCCAUCGUCGUCGCUCGCCCCCUCUACCAUAGAUCUCACGCCGUCGCGCUCCCCCGGCCAAUGAUCUGACGCUGCCGCAACUCGCCCCCAGCCCGAACUCCGGCGUCGCCCGACUCUGAUCCCCCGCCGGCCCUCCGGCCAGAGCUCCACCGCCGCUCGACCACUCCUCCUAGACAAGUUCCCCCGCCGCUUGACGCUGGUCGCCUCCCUACAGCGCAAGCUCCUCUGCCACCUGACGCCGGUCUGCCCCAGGCCAAGCUCCCCGAUCCCCUGACGCCGGUUGCAGCCCGACAUCGCUCCCCCCAAUGCCAGGCUCCGCCGGUUGUAGCCCGACACCGCUCCCCCCAACGCCAGGCUCCGCCGGCCGCAGAAUACUCUACCCGGACGACUCCUCUCUCACUUUGCUGCCGACCUUGGCAAUGAGCUCGCCGACACACCUCUGCUGCUAGGAGCUUGUCCACAGGUUGUUCUUCUCAUUUUUCUAUCUCCAUAUCAUGUGAAAUAUAGCUCAAAUUGCGAUAUGUCACCUCUGUUUUCCCUUUCUGUCUUUGCAGUGAUACACUGUAUUGGUGAAAUUUGACAAAUGUUGAUAAAAUCAGUGAAUACUUUUUGGUGAUUGGAUGAGAAUUGUUGUUAAAAACAGUGCGGACUGUUGAUUCGAUGGCAAUUGUUGAUGACAUGAUAUUUUUUGAAGUUGAUCUGGUUAGGGGGAGCUGCAUAUGUCAUGCCACACAAGAGUAUUUUUCUUUUUUUAGCAAGAGAAACCACUGGAUAUUACUUAGAUUUUUAGUAACUGGUUAUACCAGCUAGCCUUCUGUUCUGCUGUUUCUCAAGCAUUGGGGAAUAUACAUCCAUAUUUGUCAUUUAUGAUAUUUUCUUUAUGUACUUCACAAAAUUCUAUUACUCUAGUAAAGACACAUCUCCACUUAUGUUUUCCAGUGUAAGAUGAAAGAUUGGGUAGAUCCUAUUAUACCAUUUGAACCUUAGUAUCUAUUGCACAGUUUAAAAUAUUCAUAUAUACCUAUGUUUAAUGUACAAGAGCAUAUGGAAAUUACAAACUGAUCGAUUUUGCUUUCAUUACUAUGAGUGGUAGCUCAGCUUUGAGAAUGUUGCAGGGCAGAGUGUUUCUCUUAGGAAAAAAGGUUGUUGUGGCAAAGAAAGGGAAAGGGAAAAAGAAGGGCAAAGACAGUGAAAAAGCAACUGAAGGUCCUGAAAAACAGAAGCGUAAAAGAGCGCCUAACAAGAAAUCAGGUAACGUCGCACGUAAACCUGAGAAGAAGCCUGAGGAUUGUUUCAAAAAGAAGUCAAUAUUCUUUGAUUUGGAAUACUGGGGGUACAACAAGUUAAGGCAAAAUCUAGAUGUAAUGCAUAUUGAGAAAAAACAUCUGUGAAAAUUUAAUUGGAACCUUACUGGAUAUUGAUUCUAAAAUAAAGGAUGGCCUUAAUGCACGACUUGACUUGGGAGAAAUUAGAAUUCGAUCUAGCCUUCAACCUGAUGAAGGUGAUAAGGGUAAAACUAAAUUGCCGCAUGCACCUUUUAAUAUGUAUAAAGAAAAGAAGGAGAUUCUUUGUACAGUGAUUAAGAAUUGUAGGACACCUGAUGGUUAUGCAUCAAACUUUCGAGGUGUGUGAACAUGAAAGAAUUAACAUUGACUGGCCACAAAAUCCACGACUGUCAUGUUAUUCUAGAAGACAUCCUUCCUGUGGCACUUUUAAACUGUUAUCCCAGUAAAGAUGUCAUGAUAAUAGUUGUUGAGCUGGCUAAUUUCUUCAAGAAGCUAUGCUCCAAAGUGUUAGAUGUCUCUGAGCUUGACAAACUGCAAGAGAGUAUUGUGAAGACACUUUGUAAUAUGGAAAAAGUUUUUCUUCCAUCGUUUUUUACUGUCAUGGUACAUUUGAUGGUGCAUUUAGUUGAAGAAGCUAAACUUGGUGGCCCGGUGCAUUACAGGUGGAUGUACCCUCUAGAGAGGUAUGCUACUUUCAUUUUAUUUGUUAUUUUCCACGGUGCAUCUAAGUAUAUGAUUUGAUUUAUUGUUUCCCGUGAUCAUAUAACCUUGUUGUUUUAUGAUGUUCAGAUCAUUUGUUUGGCUAAAGUCACUUGUGCGCAAUAGAACUUAUCCUGAAGGUUCUAUUGCUGAAGGAUAUAUUGUUGAAGAAUGCUUGACCUUUUGUUUAAGAUUUCUAGAAGGAACCACACGUUUCACGAGAACAUCUAGGAACCCUGAUCCUUCAGAUAAUACAAAGGGCAUGUACAUGUUUGAUAGUGUUGGUGAGCCAAUUGGAAAGGCUGUCACUGUAGGCCAGUUGGACGAUCAGCUUCUAGUUCAAGCACAUCGAUAUGUCUUGCGACACUGUGAUGAGCUUGAUGAUCUCCGUAGAGAAUUUGUGGAUCAAGAGAAGAGGAAGCCGGGUAACUUAAAUUUGACGGAUGAUGACAAUCAGGAUUUGAUUAGUAGACACUUUGCUGACUGGUUGGAACAAAAGAGAUUACAAGGUGGUGCUCUUCAAAUGUGAUUGGUAUGAUGUUCAUCACAAAGCUGGUAUUUAAGAGAUGAGUUUGGAUUCACUCAUGUGAACUUCUCCCGCAAAAUACAUACAUGGGAGAAGUUAGAGGAUGAUCCUUUUGUAUUUUCUUCCCAAGUGGACCAGGUAUUUUAUAUCCAACAUCCGAGAAGUGAGAAUUGGAAUACCAUGGUGAAAUUCGAACCUCGUGAUAUUUUUGACAUGGGUGGAGAACCAUCUUCUGAUGAAACAGAUUAGUCUUUGUGCUUUCAGCUUGUUAUCGGCAGCUAAGAUAUAGGUUGAGCACUUGUCAUCCAUGCUCCUUGGUAGAGUUGCUCCAAUAUAACUAUUCUAGCUGGGCGGAUCUUCUUCAGAAUAUAUUGUUCCCUGUGUUACUCUGUAAUGAACGAGUCCAUGGUCUUUUUUAAUGCAUAUUUUCCCUUUUGUUAUGAAUGAAUUUAUG
This 3068-nucleotide ribosomal RNA is filed under the name Triticum aestivum (bread wheat). RNAcentral describes it as "partial small subunit ribosomal RNA". The record is from RNAcentral. Lineage: Eukaryota; Viridiplantae; Streptophyta; Magnoliopsida; Poales; Poaceae.